RNAcentral lists this ribosomal RNA (443 nucleotides) under uncultured bacterium. RNAcentral describes it as "partial 16S ribosomal RNA". It matches the Rfam family "Bacterial small subunit ribosomal RNA", at positions 338 to 795 of the family's 1533-position model. The record is from RNAcentral.
CCUACGGGUGGCAGCAGUGGGGAAUAUUGGGCAAUGGGCGCAAGCCUGACCCAGCAACGCCGCGUGAAGGAAGAAGGCUUUCGGGUUGUAAACUUCUUUUCUGAGGGACGAAGCAAGUGACGGUACCUCAGGAAUAAGCCACGGCUAACUACGUGCCAACAGCCGCGGUAAUACGUAGGUGGCAAGCGUUAACCGGAUUUAUUGGGUGUAAAGGGCGUGUAGGCGGGAAAGCAAGUCAGAUGUGAAAACUGAGGGCUCAACCCUGAGCCUGCAUUUGAAACUGUUGUUCUUGAGAGCUGGAGAGGCAAUCGGAAUGCCGUGUGUAGCGGUGAAAUGCGUAGAUAUACGGAGGAACACCAGUGGCGAAGGCGGAUUGCUGGACAGUAACUGACGCUGAGGCGCGAAAGCGUGGGGAGCAAACAGGAUUAGAUACCCCUGUAGUC